GAUGAACGCGGCGGCGUGCCUAAUACAUGCAAGUCGAGCGAGAAGCUUGGAAAUGACGCUUCGGUUGAUUUUCCAAGCGGACAGCGGCGGACGGGUGAGUAACGCGUAGGCAACCUGCCCCUGACAGAGGGAUAGCCAUUGGAAACGAUGAUUAAAACCUCAUGACACCGUAGUAGCACAUGCUACAUCGGUCAAAGAUUUAUCGGUCAGGGAUGGGCCUGCGUCUGAUUAACUGGUUGGUGAGGUAACGGCUCACCAAGGUGACGAUCAGUAGCCGACCUGAGAGGGUGAUCGGCCACAUUGGAACUGAGACACGGUCCAAACUUCUACGGAAGGCAGCAGUAGGGAAUCUUGCACAAUGGGCGAAAGCCUGAUGCAGCAACGCCGCGUGAAGGAUGAAGGCCUUCGGGUUGUAAACUUUCUGUUUCUAAAGGGAAAGAAAAGAAAUGAACGGUA
This 456-nucleotide ribosomal RNA is filed under the name Mogibacterium timidum. RNAcentral's name for it is "bacterial SSU rRNA". It matches the Rfam family "Bacterial small subunit ribosomal RNA", at positions 28 to 477 of the family's 1533-position model. Lineage: Bacteria; Bacillati; Bacillota; Clostridia; Peptostreptococcales; Anaerovoracaceae. The record is from RNAcentral.